RNAcentral lists this ribosomal RNA (459 nucleotides) under uncultured bacterium. RNAcentral describes it as "partial 16S ribosomal RNA". It matches the Rfam family "Bacterial small subunit ribosomal RNA", at positions 338 to 795 of the family's 1533-position model. The record is from RNAcentral.
CCUACGGUGGGCAGCAGUGAGGAAUAUUGGUCAAUGGGCGCGAGCCUGAACCAGCCAAGUCGCGUGAGGGAAGACGGUCCUAUGGAUUGUAAACCUCUUUUGUCGGGGAGCAAAAGACGCCACGCGUGGCGUUCCGAGAGUACCCGAAGAAAAAGCAUCGGCUAACUCCGUGCCAUCAGCCGCGGUACUACGGAGGAUGCGAGCGUUAUCUGGAUUUAUUGGGUUUAAAGGGUGCGUAGGCGGAAGCUCAAGUCAGCGGUAAAAUUGGGAGGCUCAACCUCUUCGAGCCGUUGAAACUGGUUUUCUUGAGUGUGUGAGAAGUAUGCGGAAUGCGUGGUGUAGCGGUGAAAUGCAUAGAUAUCACGCAGAACUCCGAUUGCGAAGGCAGCAUACCGGCGCUCAACUGACGCUCAUGCACGAAAGUGUGGGUAUCGAACAGGAUUAGAUACCCUUGUAGUC